UACGGGGGGGGUAAGCGUUGUUCGGAAUUACUGGGCGUAAAGGGCUCGUAGGCGGCCAACUAAGUCAUACGUGAAAUCCCUCAGCUUAACUGGGGAACUGCGUGUGAUACUGGAUGGCUUGGAUUUGGGAGAGGGAUGCGGAAUUCCAGGUGUAGCGGUGAAAUGCGUAGAUAUCAGGAGGAACACCGGUGGCGAAGGCGGGUCUCUGGGCAACUACUGACGCUGAGGAGCGAAAGCGUGGGGAGCGAACAGG
Molecule: ribosomal RNA, 253 nt
Filed under: uncultured bacterium
Lineage: Bacteria
Description: partial 16S ribosomal RNA
Rfam family: Bacterial small subunit ribosomal RNA
Source: RNAcentral